Molecule: long non-coding RNA, 672 nt
Filed under: Coturnix japonica (Japanese quail)
Lineage: Eukaryota; Metazoa; Chordata; Aves; Galliformes; Phasianidae
Description: lncRNA (ENSCJPG00005018342.1)
Source: RNAcentral
AGCGGAUGUAACGAGUUAUUACUGAGAAUAAAAGCAAUAACACAAAGUCAUUUAAAUCUGCAAACUGCCAGAAGAGUGGGUUAUAAAAAGGAGAAGCUGGGAACUUGAAAGCUGUUCAGAAGAUUUCUUAUAUUUAAGAUGUUAAAAUUACUUUCCUGUCUUAUUUAGGAAGCCUGCAUAGGCUGAAUAGGAGCCAAAGCUGGAGACUGCCAAAGAUGACAUUAAUGCAGUAUGUCAACACAGACUGCAAGAUUCACACUGUGAUAUAGCAUGCAGAACAGAAAGGGGAAGGAAAAUACACUUUGUAUUGCACACCAUCAUGUGCUAAUGACAGUAGCCAACAAUCUCAACAGUUGUAAACAGCAAUAUGAGGAAAAGCAGUAUCAAGUCCAGCUGAUAAUUGAAGCAGUUUUCUUGGGGAACACAUGCCACUGAACGUCCUUCACAAGUAACUUAGAGCAAGAGAAACAGUUGAAUUGAAGACUUGUUUAGAAAGCCUCAUAAAUGAACAAAGGUUCAGCAGUGCAUCAGGGAGGACCAAGAUCAUUAUUUUUCUAAAUUUCCGGAAAAGGAACUGUGUGAUCUUAAAUGCAAGGUUGGUGUAGUUCAUACAAAGCAAAUCUGGCUGAAAGGUGGCAUUAAGAUGAGGAACAUAAAAUUCUGAUUAAAUGG